UAGUAUUCAAUUGUCAGAGGUGAAAUUCUUGGAUUUAUUGAAGACUAACUACUGCGAAAGCAUUUGCCAAGGAUGUUUUCAUUAAUCAAGAACGAAAGUUAGGGGAUCGAAGACGAUCAGAUACCGUCGUAGUCUUAUCCAUAAACUAUGCCGACUAGGGAUCGGAUGAUGUUAUUUUUAAUGACUCA
Molecule: ribosomal RNA, 188 nt
Filed under: uncultured Glomeromycotina
Lineage: Eukaryota; Fungi; Glomeromycota
Description: partial 18S ribosomal RNA
Rfam family: Eukaryotic small subunit ribosomal RNA
Source: RNAcentral